CCUACGGGAGACAGCAGUGGGGAAUAUUGCACAAUGGGGGAAACCCUGAUGCAGCGACGCCGCGUGAAGGAAGAAGUAUUUCGGUAUGUAAACUUCUAUCAGCAGGGAAGAAAAUGACGGUACCUGACUAAGAAGCCCCGGCUAACUACGUGCCAGCAGCCGCGGGAAUACGUAGGGGGCAAGCGUUAUCCGGAUUUACUGGGGGGAAAGGGGGCGUAGGCGGUUUAGCAAGUCAGAAGGGAAAGCCCGGGGCUCAAAUCCGGGACUGCUUUUGAAACUGUUGAACUAGAUGGCAGGAGAGGUAAGUGGAAUUCCUAGUGUAGCGGUGAAAUGCGUAGAUAUUAGGAGGAACACCAGUGGCGAAGGCGGCUUACUGGACUGUAAAUGACGCUGAGGCUCGAAAGCGUGGGGAGCAAACAGGAUUAGAUACCCUAGUAGUC
RNAcentral lists this ribosomal RNA (440 nucleotides) under uncultured bacterium. Its description in RNAcentral is "partial 16S ribosomal RNA". It matches the Rfam family "Bacterial small subunit ribosomal RNA", at positions 338 to 795 of the family's 1533-position model. The record is from RNAcentral.